AAAAGAUUAUUGACAAUAUUGGGUUAAUUAUAUAUAUUAAUUAUAUAUUAAACUAUAGUUAUUAUUGUGAUUAUAUAUUUAUAUCAGUUAUUAAUCAUUAAAUUUCUCAUUUUGUUCUUUCAAGGAGGGAAUGUAAGAUAACUUGCCACGUGGCAAGAAUUAUUCUGGCUUCAUAUAGUUUUAUAGAUAUAUAUAUAUAUAUAGAGUUGAGCUAGAAUACUCUCGAUAGUAAACGGAGCAUUUUACUAUCGAGUUGUUUUCGAUGAUAGAGCUUCCAAAUUGACGAUCGGCUCCGUUAAAUAUGAUCUAAUCUCCACAAUAAUAUAUAGCACCCUGAUUGUAAAAAUAUAUGAUAUAAAAAUUAGGAUUAAUUUCAUGCAGCUCCUUGUAAAUAAUGAAUUAUAAAUUAUCCACGCAAAGUUCAAUUUUCAUACAUUGUUUUUGUAAAAAUUCUAAUAUUUUCAAAUAUAUUUCUGCCGUUAGAAUCCGUUAGAAAACUUUAAUUAACUAUAAAUUAAAUACUUAACUCUAAUUAAUUAUAAAAGAACUUGACAUUUUUGCUCCUCUUAUAUUAUACUAUUGUAGCUUUUGAAGGGACGUACAUAUUUGUGCCGACAAAAUUAACAUUUCACUUAAAAUAUAAAUAGUUCUAUAAUGGUAACAAAUCAGAAAAAUAUAUUUGAAAAUAUUAGAACUUUUAUAGGAACAUUAUAUAAAAAUUGAACUUUAAAGAAAUAUAUUUGUAAUUUGCUAUAUUUGCAGAGACCUGUAUGUAUUUAAUCCUAAAAAUUAUACGGUAACAACAACCAAAACA
RNAcentral lists this long non-coding RNA (814 nucleotides) under Ananas comosus (pineapple). RNAcentral describes it as "long non-coding RNA (ACOM_LNC021766)". Lineage: Eukaryota; Viridiplantae; Streptophyta; Magnoliopsida; Poales; Bromeliaceae. The record is from RNAcentral.